GGGGAAUUUUGGACAAUGGGGGCCACGCUGAUCCAGCCAUGCCGCGCUAGUGAAGAAGGCCUUCGGGUUGUAAAGCUCUUUCGGACGGAAAGAAAUAGCCGCUCCUACCAUAGGCGGUGGAUGACGGUUUCGAAAGAAGAAGCACCGCACAACGACGCGCCAGCAGCCGCGGUAAUACGUAGGGUGCAGCGUUAAUCGGAAUUACUGGGCGUAAAGCGUGCGCAGGCGGUUUGGUAAGACAGGUGUGAAAUCCCCGGGCUUAACCUGGGAACUGCGCUUGUUACUGCCAGGCUAGAGUACGGCAGAGGGGGGUGGAAUUCCACGUGUAGCAGUGAAAUGCGUAGAGAUGUGGAGGAACACCGAUGGCGAAGGCAGCCCCCUGGGCCUGUACUGACGCUCAUGCACGAAAGCGUGGGGAGCAAACA
This 425-nucleotide ribosomal RNA is filed under the name uncultured Rhodocyclaceae bacterium. RNAcentral describes it as "bacterial SSU rRNA". It matches the Rfam family "Bacterial small subunit ribosomal RNA", at positions 356 to 774 of the family's 1533-position model. The record is from RNAcentral. Lineage: Bacteria; Pseudomonadati; Pseudomonadota; Betaproteobacteria; Rhodocyclales; Rhodocyclaceae.